GGGUUCGUGGUCUAGCCGGUUAUGACGCGGCCCUUACAAGGCCGAGGUCGGCGGUUCGAAACCGCCCGAACCCA
This 74-nucleotide transfer RNA is filed under the name Halovenus aranensis. RNAcentral's name for it is "Halobacteriaceae archaeon EB27 tRNA". It matches the Rfam family "tRNA". Rfam says of the family: Transfer RNA (tRNA) molecules are approximately 80 nucleotides in length. RNAcentral also lists the same sequence under 1 other name. The record is from Rfam by way of RNAcentral. Lineage: Archaea; Methanobacteriati; Methanobacteriota; Halobacteria; Halobacteriales; Haloarculaceae.